This 782-nucleotide long non-coding RNA is filed under the name Equus caballus (horse). RNAcentral's name for it is "lncRNA (ENSECAG00000044409.1)". The record is from RNAcentral. Lineage: Eukaryota; Metazoa; Chordata; Mammalia; Perissodactyla; Equidae.
AAGCCUGCUCACCUGUCGAGCUUUUGUGCAACAUUUUGUUUGGAGAAAGCUUAAUGCUGCUACAAAGUUGGAAAAUCUCUCAUCUUGUCCAUACACUAAUUUUCAUGGGAUGACUCUGAGGACAGGAUUGUAAAAGCAUUUUCCCAGGUCUUAAUGAAAGAAGCAGGAUUUUCCCCUAACAUGUGGUGUAAGUAACCCACUAAUGCCAUUUCCCACACAGAUAGGCUGGUGUGUAAAUGAAUUGGCAUGAGUUGUUUACUGAGAAGCCCAACCAUUUCAAUAAGAAACAUAGAGUUUGUAGAGAAAACUGGAAUUAAGAGUUACACAAUAGGGCCAUGAAAGAAAAAUAUUAUGCCAGUGUGUGAUAAAAUAAUCUUCUUGCUUAAAUUAUACUGCUUUGUUUAGGUCUAUGUUUAAAUAUAACAGCAUUUACCAUAAUCCCUUACAGAUAAAUAGAUGUCCAAUAAACUUUUUCUAACUAUUUUCAGAAAUAUUUAGAAGGAAGCUGCACAGGAAUUAGCAGAAAAGAAGGAGCAAAAUAUUUUUCAGUAAGAAUUAGCAAAAGAAUUAAUUAACCCCCAUUUAGCACACUAUCUCAUUUUGAAGUCACCGUGCAAAUGUAAGGACGUGCCUACCAUUUUCAGAGAAAAACUCCAAUAUGUGCCCUCGUCUGGGUUGCCCAAGAAUGAAGAAAGAGGCUCAGCCAGGAAGGUUGGUUGGCAGAAGUUCACGUAGCUAAGUCAGUGGAACAGCCGGGAUGAGAACCCGUGUCUGUUCAGUGU